RNAcentral lists this long non-coding RNA (835 nucleotides) under Eutrema salsugineum. Its description in RNAcentral is "long non-coding RNA (ESAL_LNC000029)". The record is from RNAcentral. Lineage: Eukaryota; Viridiplantae; Streptophyta; Magnoliopsida; Brassicales; Brassicaceae.
AGAUUUCGGAGCCGGCGCCGGAGGUUAAACACGAGGAAGAAGAGAAGAAGCCGAGUCUCUUGGAGAAGCUUCACCGAAGUGACAGCUCUUCUAGCUCCGUAAGUUUAUAUUUAUGUAUAUCUUUUGCGUUAACGUAAGUUAGAAGUUAGAUCGGAUCUGUUGAUGAUUAUUUUCACCAGAUAGAAUGAUUUAUCUAAUUAUACGGAUUCGAAUUUUUGACAGUCAAGCGAGGAAGAAGGUGAAGAUGGUGAGAAGAGGAAGAAGAAGAAGAAGGAUAAGAAGAAGACUACUACUACUACUACUGCUGAAGGAGAGGUGAAAACAGAGGAGGAGAAAAAAGGGUUUAUGGAGAAGCUGAAGGAGAAGCUUCCAGGACACGGAAAGAAGCCUGAAGAUGCCUCAGCCGCCGCCCCCGCCGCACCUGUUGUUGUUCCUCCGGUGGAGGAAGCGCAUCCGGCGGAGAAGAAGGGGAUUUUGGAGAAGAUUAAGGAGAAGCUUCCAGGAUACCAUCCCAAGACCGUAGAGGAGGAGAAGAAGGAAAAGGAAUCUGGUUAAGACGAAGAAAAAGCGGAUGAUCAUUAUUAAUAUGAAUAAUGAUGAUGGGAGAUUUGCUUUGUUUUUGUGAUGAAUGAUGAUCAUCUUUUGCUUUUGUGCUGUGAAAGUUUGUUGGCUUUUCUUUUUUUUUUUGUUGGUUACAGUUUUUCUGUUUCUCUCUUUGUGAUGUUUGUAUAUGAUUUGAAGGUAUUUUAAUGGUAUGGAUAUUUUCAUUUCAGAAUAUUUGGAUCAUUUGUUUUCUGGAUUCGUGCUGAAUAAUAUUUGAGUUUCGUUAGGACAA